This 9311-nucleotide long non-coding RNA is filed under the name Setaria viridis. RNAcentral describes it as "long non-coding RNA (SVIR_LNC003085)". Lineage: Eukaryota; Viridiplantae; Streptophyta; Magnoliopsida; Poales; Poaceae. The record is from RNAcentral.
AAAUCACUAACUAAAUUCACCCGUUAAAAACUAUCUUUAAAACCUUUUUACCGCUGAGCUCCCGGAAAUCAGAAGUCUCCCCGGCGAUUUCGCCAUCCCGGUACCCAUGCCGACCCCCACCUAUCCCUUUUACCCGUGCCCGAAAAUCUCGCCGCGUGCCGUUGUCAGACGCCAUGCGCGUGCCCCGACCGCGUGCCGUGAAUGCCGCCGGUCUCUUCCUUUUCUUUCUCUUUUUCAUCCCCAUUUUCCUUUUCUUUUUUCUCCUUCUUCUUUCUUCCUCUUUCUUCUUCUUCUCCCUCCUUCCUUCUUCUCUCUCCUUCUCUUCCUCCUUCCUGGUGCCCGAACCAAACUGGCCCUAGCUCCUUAACUCCGACGCCCCUGGCGCCACGCCGCCCGGUCCGCCGCUCGCCUAGGGUCUGCCGCUCGGCCCGGCCCCGCCGGUGUCGUGCCGGCCUCCUCGGACGGCGCGCCGCCCGCCAGCCCCUACCCCGGCUCCACCUCCGGCCCGGUCACGGCACCGGUGCCGUGCCGGCCACCGCCGGCCGGCCGCCCCUUCGAGCCGAGCCCCUACCGCCGCCGGCCCGUCCUGCCCGGACCCCCACCUUACCGCCACCGCCGGCCCCAAGCGGCACGCCACCGCACUGUGCCGCCGGCGCCCCUUGGUCCGGACCCCUACCCGCCGCCGGGCUAUAAAAGAGCCAUUCCGCCGGGCUCCCAUCGCCACACCCCACCGCCCAGCUCGCCACCGCCGCCCGCGCACCGCCGCCCAAGCCGCCGCCCGCGCACCGCUGCCUAAGCCGCCGCCCGUGCACCGCCGCCCGAGCCACCACCACCACCAAAAUACCAUCACCGGCCACCCCGUAUUCCGCGCCGAAACUCCAAGGUGAGGGGCCAAAUGGGCCUCCCUUCCACCCGCCGCCCCGGCCCGGGGCUCACCGCUGGCGGAGCCCCGCCGGCCGGCCGCCGCCGCCCCCCCCCCAACUCCUCAAUCUCUCUCUUCCCUUCCUGGAAGAAGAAGAGAUAAAACCUUUCAAUUUCGAUCCAACCCCCAAGUUUCCCCAAAUUACACAUAGGCCCCUCCACCUCCGAAAAUAAUUGCAAACAGGUCCCUGAUUUAUUAUAAAUCAGCCCUAAACCUCCAUUUAAGCCCCUAACCCGUGUUUAACCCGUCAUUUCAUGCACCAAACUCCCUGCAAUUAAUCCCAAAUUUUACCACGUCAUCCUCCAGAAUACUUUCGCCGAUCUAUAUCCAAAUUUCCCAAAAAUAAUCCUUCUACCUAUUUUCCGUGCACGUUUCCUGUUCGGAGCUCACGGUUAAAAAUCGUUUCCUCUUUUAUUUAUUUGUGUGUCUGUUUGUGUGUGCCGUAGAUCGCGGAUUGCCCGAGGAGGAGCCCGAGGAGGAGUUUGACCGCGAGCUCGAGCCCGAGGACCAGUACCGCGAGCCGGAACUCCCGGAAGGCUUUGAAGACGGCAAGUCCAAUCUCACCCUUUGAUGCAUACUUAAUACCUAGUUUUUCAAACACAACCUAUUGGCCUGUUUUACAAAAUGCAUAUUAUUUCACCGCAAGACAUGGUUGGAUAGCCACCCCUUGAUUGUUAUGAACAUUCCUUGUUGUCCUAUGCUUAUCUCUAAAUAUGACUCGCUCUGUUUAGAUGAUAGCCACUGCUAGAACGCUUAGGAAAUUGUUACUCAAAUGCAACCCUUAUUACAAUGGUGUAUUUGGAAAAUAAAUGUGGGUGUGUGUCCAAGUAAGAGAAAUGGCUUUUGGGGUUGGGGAAAAAGGAUGCGUAGACGGGAUGGAUGGGUGUUCCUCGUAUGGGAUGCCAUGUUGUUGUGCUCGUACCUUGGUGGUUGAGCAAUGUUGGGAGAUAUCCAUCUUGUCUUGAUUAAGGACCGAGUUGAUGUGUCAUCUUGCCUAAUUCCACUAUCGUGCAACCACUCGACCGUUGUAUGGGCAACGGCUUAGCAUAAAUCCCACUAGCUGAACUGUUAGUCCUCAGGGGUGCUGGUGAGCAACGGGAACCCAUGGAAAAGGAGUAAGAUCUUGGUGACUUAGGUCCCGGUUACGGUCUCAUGGACGAGCCGUGAACCCCUUGGGUGUUUCCGCGAGGGCUAGCCAGCCUUAGCUAAGGUGGGUAAUGGCUUUGUUAGGAUCCGUACCGUCACUAAGGUGACCGUGCUGCGGUACCCUACUUGUGGGAAAAGUGUACACCCUUUCCAGAGUUAAAACCUAUCCGGGUAGCCGUGUCCACGGCAUUGGACGAGUUACGGCUUGGUCACAUAACUAGUGUUUGGGCAAGAAUGUCAUGUGUGUGUGUGUGUGUGGAAUUUCAGAAGAGUCCGGCAGUUGUGCCGUGCGCUAUGACGGACGGGGAGUCCGAUAGCGUUAAAAACUUGGGUCCUUUGUGUAGGAUCCACCCCACUCCAUGUUUCGAUUAGUAAAGGAAAACUUUACAAAAACCCUUUCGAAAACGAUCCCCUGCAUGUGUUAAAAUCUAGCUUUUCCGCAAAUGAACUCUAGCCUAUCCUUGUUAUACUUGUGCAUAAACUUGCUUGUAUCCCCUCCGUGGAUGGGGUUGGACUUGUUGAGUACGUUAGUACUCACCCUUGCUUCAUUGCUACAGAGGAAGAACCCGAUUUCGUCGCCGAGGACCUCGAGUAGAGGUUGUGUCCGCACCCAACGCUGCCUGUGGAGUUGUCCUGCCCAAGAUGCUGCUGCUGCCGUGUAGUCCCGAGUGCUGUCUUUUGGCAGUCGCUUGGUUAGCCGCCGUUAUUUAUUUGCUGUUUAUCGCUGCGUGGCUUUCACGCCCACUCCCUCGAGAGUUGUACGGUAACUGAAUUAUCUGUCGAAUAAAUGUGUUAUCAGCCUCCUGGGACUGAUAUUUGGAUCACAUUUGGUCUCUACUUAUGUGGGGACACUUCAGGUGAUAUCAGAGCCGUCGUUGGCUGUAGGACGCAACCUUAGGACCGGAUUAGCCCUGUUUGACCAAAACAAAAGAAUUACAAAAUUUCUUCCUACCUUUGCUCUAUUGUAAAACUAAUUUGUGCCCCGGAUCUUUUCCAGAUGGCCGAGGAAGGAUUGUGGACCCACAGCCGUUGCACGGAGGAACCGGGUUUUCCCAAGCUACUACUGGUCUGCUUGAAGCGCCUCGGUAUCCGAGAGCCCCCGGAGUGUUCCAGCAGGGAAUACGAGCGCUACGGUAUUCCUCAGUGUGAAGUAAUCAUCCACAUUGGGAGGAGUGCUCGCUACCCCCAACAUCGAGCCACUCCAAGUGUCAGCCAUGGGAUUCCGACACCGAGACACCUACCUAGUAGCGGCUCGCAAAGCUCUCGGUUACCUAUGCCAGAUGUACGAGAUGCACCUUGAGCCCACAUCCAUGAGGUACUUUCCGCCCGCCGAAAAGGACCAUCCGGGUUGGAGAGCCCGAAUGAGGGCCUUGGAUGAACACGGACGGCGCGAAGAGGACACCACCAUAUAUUACAUGGCCGCCUACCUUGUUAGCUUGGAUAGACUCUAUGAUCAGCAAGCUGUGAAGCUGAGGCAACAGGUCUGUCAUGUCGAGAGGGCAGAGAUUCACAUAAGGAUGCUUCAAGCAAUGCUAAGGGAAUCAAGGGCACAAGUAGCAGCUGCUCGAAGUGCAGAAAGUGCAGCCAUGGAAGCCCUUAAGCGAGCUCAGAGUCAGCACCUCCAAGAGCUCAAGGAGGCGCAUCUCAGUGGAAUUACUAAAAGAUGGAUGGUCACCCCGGAAGCCGAAGAGCCUCCUGGCACUGAAGGAAAUCCUCUCGCUCUCGAGCACUGCAAGUACCAUGGUGCCCCAACCUCAUCAGUUGUCCCUUUUCCCGGUACUUCCAGAAGGGGCAUUGAUCUCACGGUGGGAGAAGCCGCAGAUUUCCCUCUCGAGUGCGAAGCAUGGAACAAGGACGAUGAGCCAUCCCUUCUCAUCCCAUUGGAGGAUCACUCAGUCCAGGGAGAAGACUCGCCCCGCGAGUAGUAUGCCCAGCCAGGAUUGCCCAAGGAAUGAAGCCGUCAUGGUCCGCAGUUUAGAGUUGUACCCUCUAGUUGAGUUGCUGUAACCGGUCGUGUAGUACGUGUUUUGGCCUUACCCCAGUAGUGUUGUACCCCCCCCCCGUGGCAAAAUAAAUAAAAUCACUUGUGUUUGUUGCUUGUUAGUCUGUGUGUUUGUCGACAGGAGGUGGAUUCUGUCUCUUCGAAAAUACGAAUUAACCACUUUAAAGAUCACUAAAAUCCAAAUCACACUCUCAUAAAGUCUCACUCAAUCUGCAGAUGCCACCCAAGCGUGCCACCAGGACUUCCCUAAGUCAGGCCCAUGCCACCCCCAGUGCAGAAAGGCAGCCAGAAAGGCAAGAACCGCCUCUGGCAGUGCUUCCUGAGGAGCAGGAAGUGAGCCAGCCAGAAGGAAGGGGAGAAAGUCAAGUGGGAACACAGCAGCCACCACCCCCACCGGUUAUUGAUCUGGUUCAAGUAAUGAACAACCAGACCCUCCUGCUGGAAGCUCUGGCCAACGCCAUUACUCGCCAAAGGCCCCGCGGGCAGAACAUGAAUGAGAAGUUGACGGACUUCCUCCGGACCAAGCCACCCACUUUUGGCGGGUCUGUCAACCCUCUGGACGCGGAUGACUGGCUGCGCGUCAUCCAGAGGAAGCUGGAACCCUUUGGGUGUGAGAGCAGGGACAAAGUCCUCUUGGCUGCCCACCAGCUCACUGGAACUGCCCUAGCCUGGUGGGAGAACUACUGCUCUGCCGCCCAGGAUGCCUCCACUAUCACCUGGGAUGAGUUCGUGACGGAAUUCCGUCGCUACCACAUUCCCGCCGCCACCAUGAAGCGCAAGGCGGAUGAGUUCCGUGAACUCCGCCAGGGCAACCGAUUUGUGGAGGAGUACACCUUCCAGUUCAUGGAGCUGGCCCGUUAUGCUCCGGAGGAGGUGGACAAGGAUGAGAAGAAGCAGGACAUAUUCAAGAAAGGCUUGAACGCGGAGCUGAGGACCCUACUCACUCCCCAGAUCUACCCCGACUUCAACACCUUGAUGAACAUGGCAAUCUUGACUGAGAGGGCCAAGGCAGAAGAGCGGAGGGACAACAAGCAUCGAUUCCUGGAAAACAAGGCGCACCAGCAGGACCGAUUCCAGAAGCCAAGGAGCUUCAGUCAUCCCUUGCCCAGAUCCCAAGCUCCCAUGCAUUAUCGGACCCAGUCCCAAACAUCUGGUUCGCAUCAGACUGCUGCCCCAUUCAGGAGCCAGAACUCUAUCAAGGCCCCACAGAGCAGCGCCAGCCAGGUCACCAGCAAUGGUAGGGCAUGCUUCACCUGCAGAGAGCCAGGGCAUUUCAUCGCCAACUGCCCCUAUGCCAACAAGUCAGCAGCAUCAGCCUUGUCCAACUCAGUAGCUGGGCCCAGGGCCGCAUUGUCAGGAGCCAACCAUGUGCCAGUCCGCAGCAGUGGCAACCCCAGCAACAACAACAGCCAGCAGAUGAGGCUGCCCCAGCAGUCAUUUGGACGAGCCCGCGUCAACCACAUCGGCGCGCAGGAGGCCCCGAAGCUCAGGGCGUGGUACUCAGUGAGUUCCUAGUCAGCUCAGUCUUGGCAACAGUACUUUUUGAUUCUGGAGCAUCACAUUCCUUCAUAUCCUCAAGUUUUGUGGAGAAACAUCAUAUACCUACAGUACUACUAAAGUUACCUGGAGCCGACAUUCAGUGUCGACUAGGCUGUUCUCGGGUAAGGAUCAAUUUAAGUGGGGUAGAGUUUCUAGCGGAUCUAGUAGUACUUAAGUCUAAGGGGAUAGAUGUGAUCCUUGGUAUGGACUGGUUAAGCCUGCAUGACAGUCAUAUAGGGUGUGCUGAUAAGGUGGUGCACUUGACCAAUUGAGAUGGUGUGCAAGUGACCUGUCACACUAAGGGAAGUGGCCCAGACCCCAUGGUGUUCAGCAUGGAGACCAAGACCAUAGAAGAAGUCCUAGUAGUGAGUGAAUACCCGGACAUCUUUCCUGAGGAACUACCUGGAAUGCCCCCUGACAGGGACAUAGAGUUCGUAAUUGAUCUCGUCCCCGGAACCUCCCCUAUAGCCAAGAGACCCUAUAGAAUGGCAGCCUCAGAGUUAGCCGAGCUGAAGAAACAGUUGGGAGAGUUGCAACAGAGUGGCUUUAUCAGGCCCAGCUCAUCCCCGUGGGGAGCCCCCGUGCUUUUUGUCAAGAAGAAGGACAGGAGUAUGAGGAUGUGCGUGGAUUAUCGCGCACUAAAUGAAGUCACCAUUAAAAACAAAUACCCCCUCCCCAGAAUAGAUGACCUAUUCAACCAGCUGAAAGGAGCCAAGUAUUUCUCCAAGAUAGAUCUGAGAUCGGGGUACCAUCAGCUCAAGAUCAAGGAGGGCGACAUCCCGAAGACAGCCUUUGUCACCCGUUAUGGUCAAUUUGAGUUUACAGUGAUGUCCUUUGGAUUGACCAAUGCACCGGCUUAUUUCAUGAAUCUCAUGAACAAGGUGUUUAUGGACGAGUUAGAUAAGUUUGUCGUAGUCUUUAUAGACGACAUACUUAUUUACUCCAAGAGUGUUCAAGAGCAUGAACACCACUUACAGGUGGUCUUGGAAAAGUUGAGAGCCCACCGACUCUAUGCUAAAUUCAGCAAGUGCGAAUUUUGGCUUGAGAAAGUGGCAUUCCUUGGUCAUAUCUUGACCGCGGAAGGAGUAGCAGUUGAUCCUGAGAAGGUGGAAGCCGUCUCCAACUGGCAGCAGCCCACUAAUGUUAGUGAAAUCAGGAGUUUCCUGGGUUUAGCAGGGUAUUAUCGGAGGUUUAUUGAGGGAUUCUCCAAGAUAGCCCGGCCCAUGACAGAGUUGCUCAGAAAGGACAAGAAGUUCACCUGGACCGAGUCAUGUGAGCGGAGUUUCCAAGAGCUGAAGAAGAGAUUGACAACAGCCCCAGUGCUAACCCUGCCAGACAUCCAGUGAGACUUCGUCAUCUACUGCGAUGCAUCCCGACACGGAUUAGGGUGUGUCCUCAUGCAGGAUGGGAAGGUUGUGGCCUAUGCUUCCCGACAACUUAAGCCCCAUGAGCAGAACUACCCAACCCAUGACUUGGAGUUUGCAGCCGUAGUGCAUGCCCUCAAGAUCUGGAGACAUUAUAUGAUUGGGAAUAAGUGUGAAAUCUACACCGACCAUAAAAGCCUAAAGUACAUCUUUACCCAACCCGAUCUGAAUUUAAGGCAGAGGAGGUGGCUAGAGCUGGUAAAGGACUACAACCUAGAAAUCCAUUACCACCCCGGCAAAGCUAAUGUUGUAGCUGAUGCCCUGAGCAGAAAGUCCUAUGGACAGCCCGGACCCGAGAAUGCCCGUCUACGAGAGGAAGUGGCCCGAUUGAAUGUGCACAUCAUUCCCCAGAAUGCUAGCCGUAGGCUAAGUGUCCAGCCCACCUUGGAGGAUAAAAUCCGAGAAGCCCAGGGUUCAGACCAAGACUUAGUAAAAAUCCGCAAGCAGACCGGAGAGAAUAAAGCCCCGAAUUUCAGGGUAGAUGACAAAGGAACCUUGUGGUAUAAGGACAGAAUUUGUGUCCCCAAGGACGGAGAAUUCCGGCAGACCAUCAUGGAUGAAGCCCAUAACUCAGCAUACUCCAUUCACCCCGGAUCCACGAAGAUGUAUAUGGACCUAAGGCAGAAGUACUGGUGGAAUGGAAUGAAGGCAGACAUAGCUCAGUUUGUCGCCCGUUGUGACACCUGCCAAAGAGUCAAGGCCGAGCACUAGAAGCCAGCCGGCUUGCUACAACCCUUGCCUAUCCCGGUUUGGAAGUGGGAUGAGAUCGGCAUGGAUUUUGUAGUAGGCUUGCCCAGGACUUAGAAAGGAAAUGACUCCAUAUGGGUAAUAGUGGACCGACUCACCAAAGUUGCUCACUAUCUGCCCGUACGGACCACCUACGGUGGAGAAAAACUGGCUCGACUCUACGUCGACAACAUAGUGAAGCUGCAUGGUGUGCCCAGCCGGUUCAUCUCGGAUAGAGGAACUCAGUUCACCUCUAGGUUUUGGAAGAGCUUACAUAAAGCCAUGGGCACCAAACUGGAUUUUAGUUCAGCCUAUCACCCCCAGACCAAUGGCCAAACAGAGCGAGUAAAUCAAAUCAUGGAAGAUAUGUUGAGGGCGUGUGUCCUCACCUAUGGAAAGGAUUAGGAACAAAGUUUACCCUAUGCAGAGUUCUCAUACAACAAUAGUUACCAAGCCAGUCUAGGCAUGUCACCAUUUGAGGCUCUUUAUGGUAGAAAGUGUCGGACCCCUUUGAUGUGCUCAGAAGUCGGAGAACGUUCCCUGGUCGGACCAGCUUUUAUCAAGGAAGCAGAAGACCGUGUAGCAGAAAUCCGAGAGAAGCUGAAGGCUGCCCAGUCCAGACAGAAGAGCUACUCGGACAAGAGAAGACGGGAAUUGUGCUUCAAUGAGGGAGAUUUUGUCUACCUCAAGGUAUCCCCGAUUCGGGGUACUCGGAGGUUUCAGGUGCAAGGAAAGCUAGCCCCUCGGUACAUUGGACCUUACCAGGUGUUAAAGAGAGUUGGAGCCGUAGCGUACCGCAUUCAACUGCCCGAAGAAAUGUCGGAUAUACACCCGGUAUUCCAUGUCUCCCAGCUGAGAAAAUGCUUGAGAGUGCCGGAGGAACAAGUACCCGUAGAGACAAUAGACCUACAAAAGGACCUUCGGUAUCAAGAAGUACCUGUCAAGAUUUUGGACACUGUCACCAGAAGGAUAAGAAAUACAGCAGUCCGGAUCUGCAGAGUACAGUGGAGCAGGCAUGGCGAAGAAGAGUCCACGUGGGAACGCGAGGACACGUUAAAGAAGGAAUUUCCCCAUCUCUUCAGGACUCAGUCGAAUCUCGAGGACGAGAUUCAAUUUAAGUGGGGUAGGUUUGUAACGCCCGUAGAAAUCACUAACUAAAUUCACCCGUUAAAAACUGUCUUUAAAACCUUUUUACCGCUGAGCUCCCGGAAAUCAGAAGUCUCCCCGGCGAUUUCGCCAUCCCGGUACCCAUGCCGACCCCCACCUAUCCCUUUUACCCGUGCCCAAAAAUCUCGCCGCGUGCCGUUGUCAGACGCCGUGCGCGUGCCCCGACCGCGUGCCGCGAAUGCCGCCGGUCUCUCCCUUUUCUUUCUCUUUUUCCUCCCCUUUUUCCUUUUCUUUUUUCUCCUUCUUCUUUCUUCCUCUUUCUUCUUCUUCUCCCUCCUUCCUUCUUCUCUCUUCUUCUCUUCCUCCUUCCUGGUGCCCGAACCAAACCGGCCCCAGCUCCUUAACUCCGGCGCCCCUGGCGCCACGCCGCCCGGUCCGCCGCUCG